UACGGAGGGGGCUAGCGCUGUUCGGAAUUACUGGGCGUAAAGCGCACGUAGGUGGCUUUGUAAGUUAGAGGUGAAAGCCCGGGGCUCAACUCCGGAAUUGCCUUUAAGACUGCAUCGCUUGAAUCGUGGAGAGGUAAGUGGAAUUCCGAGUGUAGAGGUGAAAUUCGUAGAUAUUCGGAAGAACACCAGUGGCGAAGGCGACUUACUGGACACGUAUUGACGCUGAGGUGCGAAAGCGUGGGGAGCAAACAGG
This 253-nucleotide ribosomal RNA is filed under the name uncultured bacterium. Its description in RNAcentral is "partial 16S ribosomal RNA". It matches the Rfam family "Bacterial small subunit ribosomal RNA", at positions 524 to 776 of the family's 1533-position model. The record is from RNAcentral.